This is a non-coding RNA of Anopheles dirus, 46 nucleotides long. The record is from Rfam. Lineage: Eukaryota; Metazoa; Arthropoda; Insecta; Diptera; Culicidae.
AAAACGGUCCUUUUCAGGACCACCAGAAAUGUUGAGCAAAAGAGUA